UGGAGACUCCGCCUCCAGCCGCCCUCGGGUCCCCAGAGGCCGGUCCUCGCCCUCGGUGCUCCCCGCUGGGAGGUGGGGUGGGCCUGAGGACCGCCCGGCUCUGCCUUCACGCGGAGGGUCGCUGCGCAAGACCCUAGCGCAAAUUCGAUUCCCGUCUCUUGCGUCGCAGGACGCCGCCAUUGCCUCCAGAAGCCGGGAUCCUCCAGGCCCAGGUCCAGGAGCCCGUGCCGACCAAAGCCUAGUGUCACUUUAAGCACGCCCCCCGCCCCCGGCCUGCCCGCUGUCGGGGUGUGUUCUGCUCCGAGGCCUUCUUCGCGGAAAGCAGAGAGCACUCUGGGUAGCGUGCUUGCUCCACGUCCCCAGAGAGAAACCCGGGAGUGCCCGGCCGCCCUGGACUGGGCCUUGCCAGGGUGCUUGGGAUGCUGGAAGGUCUCCAGCUACAGGGCCCCUGGCAGGGGGAGCAGAGCUUGUGGAUUGGGGAUGCCAGGGCCAAGCUCUGCAUGGGGUGGUGAGAGCCUGUGCAGAGGAGGGACCCACGCGGGGGAAGCACAGAGGUCCUUCAGGCAGCGGCGUUCAACCACUGACCCAGGAGCAGGAGUGGCAGCAACGUGCCGCCCUGUGCCACCCGUUCAAGGCUCAGGGCCGCCCCAGGAGCCAGGAGCGUGUGUCCUGCCCGAGUCAUAGCCUUUGCUGCACCCUGGCCUCCGAGCUCUCGCCUUAGCUGCACCCCGGCUGCGGGCUGAGGCGUGAGGCCGGUGCACUGAUGCACGCUCACGCUGGGGUGAAGGGGAUCCACCUCCCAGGAUCCAUGGAGGACCCACGUUGGGGAGAGGGGCGAGGCCAGGCGCUGCGGAAGGGUUCCCCCGAAACCCUAGCCUCUUGGGGGCCCCGGGGAGUGGGCAUCGAGUGGAGAAACUGGUCCGGCUCCAUCUUGCUCCGCCUGCGCCCGCCCGCGAGUCUGCACGCAGCGGCACCCCGCUUGCGGCCCUCGCCACGCGCCCCAAGCACCGAGCUUCCGCUCUAGGCCGCCCCUGAGGUCUGGCAGGAUCACCUGGGACCGAGGUCGCCCGAGCACUUUCCAACCAAGUAAAAUAGAACUUGAAUGUA
This is a non-coding RNA of Heterocephalus glaber (naked mole-rat), 1107 nucleotides long. Lineage: Eukaryota; Metazoa; Chordata; Mammalia; Rodentia; Bathyergidae. The record is from RefSeq and is a predicted model, not a curated record.